RNAcentral lists this ribosomal RNA (549 nucleotides) under uncultured Glomus. RNAcentral describes it as "SSU rRNA". It matches the Rfam family "Eukaryotic small subunit ribosomal RNA", at positions 548 to 1098 of the family's 1831-position model. Lineage: Eukaryota; Fungi; Glomeromycota; Glomeromycetes; Glomerales; Glomeraceae. The record is from RNAcentral.
UUGGAGGGCAAGUCUGGUGCCAGCAGCCGCGGUAAUUCCAGCUCCAAUAGCGUAUAUUAAAGUUGUUGCAGUUAAAAAGCUCGUAGUUGAAUUUCGGGAUCAAUUUAUCGGUCGUGCCAAUGGUAUGAACUGGUACAAUUGGUUUCUCCCUUCUGACGAAGCAUGAUGUCAUUAAUUUGGUGUCGUGGGGAAUCAGGACUGUUACUUUGAAAAAAUUAGAGUGUUUAAAGCAAGCAUUAGCUUGAAUACAUUAGCAUGGGAUAAUGAAAUAGGACGUUUGAUCCUAUUUCGUUGGUUUCUAGGAUCGACGUAAUGAUUAAUAGGGAUAGUUGGGGGCAUUAGUAUUCAAUUGUCAGAGGUGAAAUUCUUGGAUUUAUUGAAGACUAACUACUGCGAAAGCAUUUGCCAAGGAUGUUUUCAUUAAUCAAGAACGAAAGUUAGGGGAUCGAAGACGAUCAGAUACCGUCGUAGUCUUAACCAUAAACUAUGCCGACUAGGGAUCGGAUGAUGUUAAUUUUUUAAUGACUCAUUCGGCGCCUUACGGGAAAC